This is a small nuclear RNA of Manis pentadactyla (Chinese pangolin), 107 nucleotides long. The record is from RefSeq and is a predicted model, not a curated record. Lineage: Eukaryota; Metazoa; Chordata; Mammalia; Pholidota; Manidae.
GUGCUCACAUUGAUAGCAUACAUAAUAAAACUGUAAUGAUACAAGGAAGAUUAGCAUGGCCUCUCUGAGAGGAUACCAUACAAAUUUGUGAAUCACUCCAUAUUUUA